Molecule: ribosomal RNA, 129 nt
Filed under: Bacillus cereus
Lineage: Bacteria; Bacillati; Bacillota; Bacilli; Caryophanales; Bacillaceae
Source: RNAcentral
UCUGGUAAUGAUGGCAGAGAGGUCACACCCGUUCCCAUACCGAACACGGAAGUUAAGCUCUCUAGCGCCGAUGGUAGUUGGGACCUUGUCCCUGUGAGCUCAGCUGGGAGAGCACCUGCCUUACAAGCA